AGCAGCCGCGGUAAUUCCAGCUCCAAUAGCGUAUAUUAAAGUUGUUGCAGUUAAAAAGCUCGUAGUUGAAUUUCGGAAUCAAUAUAUCGGUCGUGCCUUGGUACGUACUGGUAUCAUUGGUUUCUCCUUUCUGACGAACCAUGAUGUCAUUAAUUUGGUGUUAUGGGAAGUUAGGACUGUUACUUUAGAAAAAUUAGAGUGUUUAAAGCAGGCUUUAGCUUGAAUACAUUAGCAUGGAAUAAUGAAAUAGGACGUUCGAACCUAUUUUGUUGGUUUCUAGGAUCAACGUAAUGAUUAAUAGGGAUAGUUGGGGGCAUUAGUAUUCAAUUGUCAGAGGUGAAAUUCUUGGAUUUAUUGAAGACUAACUACUGCGAAAGCAUUUGCCAAGGAUGUUUUCAUUAAUCAAGAACGAAAGUUAGGGGAUCGAAGACGAUCAGAUACCGUCGUAGUCUUAACCAUAAACUAUGCCGACUAGGGAUCGGAUGAUGUUAAUUUUUAAUGUACUCA
Molecule: ribosomal RNA, 507 nt
Filed under: uncultured Glomeraceae
Lineage: Eukaryota; Fungi; Glomeromycota; Glomeromycetes; Glomerales; Glomeraceae
Description: SSU rRNA
Rfam family: Eukaryotic small subunit ribosomal RNA
Source: RNAcentral